GCCCCCCGGUGGUAUAGGGGUCAGUACCCCCGCCUGUCACGCGGGAGCCCGGGGGUUCGAUUCCCCCGGGGAGUU
Molecule: non-coding RNA, 75 nt
Organism: Trichonephila inaurata madagascariensis
Lineage: Eukaryota; Metazoa; Arthropoda; Arachnida; Araneae; Nephilidae
Source: the annotation of a GenBank genome assembly